GACGAACGCUGGCGGCGUGCCUAAUACAUGCAAGUCGUACGAAUUGAUUAAGGAGCUUGCUCCUUAUGACGUUAGUGGCGAACGGGUGAGUAACACGUGGGUAACCUACCUUCAAGAGGGGGAUAACAUCCGGAAACGGGUGCUAAUACCGCAUAGUUUCAGCUUCCGCAUGGAAGCCGAAGGAAAGACGGCCUUUGUGCUGUCACUUGGAGAUGGACCCGCGGCGCAUUAGUUAGUUGGUAGGGUAACGGCCUACCAAGACGAUGAUGCGUAGCCGACCUGAGAGGGUGAUCGGCCACAUUGGGACUGAGACACGGCCCAA
This 322-nucleotide ribosomal RNA is filed under the name uncultured bacterium. RNAcentral's name for it is "bacterial SSU rRNA". It matches the Rfam family "Bacterial small subunit ribosomal RNA", at positions 28 to 334 of the family's 1533-position model. The record is from RNAcentral.